AGUAAGUCGUAACAAGGUUUCCGUAGGUGAACCUGCGGAAGGAUCAUUAUCGAAUUGUAGGGCGAGGGUUGUCGCUGGCCUCUCGGGGCAUGUGCACGCCCGAGCCCUUGAAUCCCAAACACCACAUGUGAACCCACCGUAGGCCUUCGGGCCUAUGUCUUAUCAUAUAAUCUGAAUGUCUAAUAGAAUGUAAACCCAUUUCGUUGCCUUGAAAACGUAACGAAAGAAAACUAUACAACUUUCAACAACGGAUCUCUUGGCUCUCGCAUCGAUGAAGAACGCAGCGAAAUGCGAUAAGUAAUGUGAAUUGCAGAUUUUCAGUGAAUCAUCGAAUCUUUGAACGCACCUUGCGCCCCUUGGUAUUCCGAGGGGCAUGCCUGUUUGAGUGUCAUUAAAUCCUCAACCCCUCCGAUUCGUUUCGGUGGGGAUUGGACUUGGAGCGUGCUGGCGAAGGUCGGCUCCUCUUUAAAUGCAUCAGCGGAGAAAAUGCCUUUUGCGCCUCUGGCCGUUCAGCGUGAUAAUGAUGUUGCGCUGCGGUCGAGCUUAAGGUCCGCUUCCAAAGGUCCUCGGACAAAUAUACAUAUGACUUUGACCUCAAAUCAGUA
RNAcentral lists this ribosomal RNA (605 nucleotides) under uncultured Tylospora. RNAcentral's name for it is "eukaryotic LSU rRNA". The stretch from base 237 to 391 matches the Rfam family "5.8S ribosomal RNA". Lineage: Eukaryota; Fungi; Basidiomycota; Agaricomycetes; Atheliales; Atheliaceae. The record is from RNAcentral.